This is a transfer RNA of 74 nucleotides. It matches the Rfam family "tRNA". Rfam says of the family: Transfer RNA (tRNA) molecules are approximately 80 nucleotides in length. Their secondary structure includes four short double-helical elements and three loops (D, anti-codon, and T loops). The record is from Rfam.
GCCCCUGUAGCUCAGUGGGUUAGAGCGGCGAUCUUAUAAGUCGUUGGUCACGGGUUCAAGUCCCGUCGGGGGUA